Molecule: ribosomal RNA, 487 nt
Filed under: uncultured bacterium
Lineage: Bacteria
Description: bacterial SSU rRNA
Rfam family: Bacterial small subunit ribosomal RNA
Source: RNAcentral
AUGCAAGUCGAACGGUAACAGGUCUUCGGAUGCUGACGAGUGGCGNACGGGUGAGNAAUACAUCGNAACGUGCCCGAUCGUGGGGGAUAACGAGGCGAAAGCUUUGCUAAUACCGCAUACGAUCUACGGAUGAAAGCGGGGGAUCUUUGGACCUCGCGCGGACGGAGCGGCCGAUGGCAGAUUAGGUAGUUGGUGGGAUAAAAGCUUACCAAGCCGACGAUCUGUAGCUGGUCUGAGAGGAUGAUCAGCCACACUGGGACUGAGACACGGCCCAGACUCCUACGGGAGGCAGCAGUGGGGAAUUUUGGACAAUGGGCGAAAGCCUGAUCCAGCCAUGCCGCGUGCAGGAUGAAGGCCUUCGGGUUGUAAACUGCUUUUGUACGGAACGAAAAGCCUCUUUCUAAUAAAGAGGGGUCAUGACGGUACCGUAAGAAUAAGCACCGGNUAACUACNUGCCAGCAGCCGCGGUAAUACGUAGGGUGCAAGC